Molecule: non-coding RNA, 124 nt
Filed under: marine eukaryotic metagenome
Description: Cyclic di-GMP-I riboswitch
Rfam family: c-di-GMP-I riboswitch aptamer
About the family: GEMM was predicted in a large-scale screen for bacterial structured RNA regulatory elements.
Source: RNAcentral
CGACAAAGGCAAACCACUCGAAAGGGCGGGGCGCAAAACAAGGGGCCUUUCUUAGGUGGUAACAUCAAGGGCUUUCAAAUCUCAAACCGAAGGUCUGAUACCUAAGAAGGCCGCCCAGUUACCA